Molecule: transfer RNA, 73 nt
Filed under: Strongylocentrotus purpuratus (purple sea urchin)
Lineage: Eukaryota; Metazoa; Echinodermata; Echinoidea; Camarodonta; Strongylocentrotidae
Rfam family: tRNA
About the family: Transfer RNA (tRNA) molecules are approximately 80 nucleotides in length.
Source: Rfam by way of RNAcentral
CCAGUGAUGGCCUAGUGGUAGAGUAACUAUACCCACCAAGCAGUAGAUGCAGGUUCAAGUCCUGCUGGUUGCA